GGGUGAGUAACGCGUAUCCAACCUGCCCUUUACAACGGGACAGCCCGUCGAAAGGCGGAUUAAUACCGUAUGUUGUCAUGUUGAUGCAUAUUUUCAUGACCAAAGGCUUCGGCCGGUAAAGGAUGGGGAUGCGUCUGAUUAGCUUGCCGGCGGGGUAACGGCCCACCGGGGCGACGAUCAGUAGGGGUUCUGAGAGGAAGGUCCCCCACAUUGGAACUGAGACACGGUCCAAACUCCUACGGGAGGCAGCAGUGAGGAAUAUUGGUCAAUGGGCGCGAGCCUGAACCAGCCAAGUAGCGUGCAGGACGACGGCCCUAUGGGUUGUAAACUGCUUUUAUACGGGGAUAAAGUAUGCCACGUGUGGUUUAUUGCAGGUACCGUAUGAAUAAGGACCGGCUAAUUCCGUGCCAGCAGCCGCGGUAAUACGGAAGGUCCGGGCGUUAUCCGGAUUUAUUGGGUUUAAAGGGAGCGUAGGCCGGGUUUUAAGCGUGCCGUGAAAUGUCGGGGCUCAACCUUGACACUGCGGCGCGAACUGGAGUCCUUGAGUGCGCGGAACGUAUGCGGAAUUCGUGGUGUAGCGGUGAAAUGCUUAGAUAUCACGAAGAACCCCGAUUGCGAAGGCAGCAUACGGCAGCGCUACUGACGCUGAAGCUCGAAGGCGCGGGUAUCGAACAGGAUUAGAUACCCUGGUAGUCCGCGCGGUAAACGAU
Molecule: ribosomal RNA, 710 nt
Filed under: uncultured bacterium
Lineage: Bacteria
Description: bacterial SSU rRNA
Rfam family: Bacterial small subunit ribosomal RNA
Source: RNAcentral